GUGAGUGACCCCUGUCAUCAGAGGGGUGUGGCAGGUGGCCCUACAAGAGCUUCACAGCGCAAGUCAACUUCCCAUGAGCCCAGACAGGUCUACAGAUGUGGCUCUCCAGACUCUAUGUUGAGAGGAAUGUUGAGGCCAUACCUCAGAAGGAAAUCACACAGAGACAAAUAAGCAAGGCUGUGUGGGCCAGGAGGAGCAGGGGACAACCUGCCAAUUUGCCCCUAAGGGCGAGAAAUUGAAACUGGGGUUAGAGAGUUAGACAAGCACCUUGGAUAGAGCCCUAUAGUGUUUUUUGUUUUUGUUUGUUUGUUUGUUUGUUUUUUUACUGAGCAGGUCUUACUAUGGUAACACCUGGUCAUAAAAUUCUAAAAUCAUUUGUUUAGAAAAGGAUAUGGCAAUUCACUGAGCCCAGUUCCCCAGCCAUGGUCUCCAGCACACUUCCACUAAGAAGCCCCUAGCAAUGGAAGGUCAGCUGUCUCUAAAAGCUGUGCAUUCUAUCUUUGGAGAAAUGUGGACCUGAAACGUUUCUGCAGACAUCCUGGCCCUCCCUGAAAGUUUUACCCUAUGAGGGACUCAACAGAGUCCUUCCUCUAGGGUGCUGGGCAUGCCUUCGUUUCUCUAUUCUGUGAGUACUUGUGCUCAUGGGGCCUGCGCUGGGUGCUGAAGAGACAUUGCUCAGGAAAAUUCCACUGCCACAAAAAGUACAAGGAAAUAUGCUAUGCAAUCCUACCUUUAUGAAAUUUACAAUCUAGUAUAGGAGAUGAACUUAAAAUAAUUGUAAGGAAGCUGUGAACCAUUUCUGCAAUACAUGUUUAAGCGUGGAAGGGAGAGUUGCGAAGAAGGCAUUAACAGCAACUCACGGAAAGCUUCAGUGGGAAGGUGGGAUGUGAGCUGAGUCUUUUAGGAUGAGCAAAAUGUGAAAGGAGGAAAAGUGACGGAAGUAGAUGUUGCUUAACUCGCUCCAGACCUCACCUCCACUGUGCAAUGACACAGUGCUCACAAAUGGCUGGUGGAGACCCGAACUGGAGCCAGAGGCCAGGCAGGAUACUGCUUCGUGGGAGGAUGAAGAAGGGCUUUGUACUACCUGCCCCAACUUCGACACCAUUUGCAGAUGAAGCUCCAAGAAACAUGAAAACCAGACAGCUAUAGCGCUUUGGGUGGAGUGUGCUGCUGGGCACAGCAAAUAUAAAUGGCCUUAAAGAAAAAGCAGAAUGGACAAUGAAUGCCAUCCCUUAAAGCGACGUCUUUGCUGCAGCCUCUUCAUUUGCCCUCGGAUUAAUGCGUGAUAGUUUCCUGUCCCUGGUACUUGGGGCUGUGCAGUGAGGAAAUAUGAAGAAAGAAAAGAACUGAAGUGAGCUACCUUGGGGCCUUAGAGGGAAGGCCAGCAGUAUUGUCAACCCAUUUGGUUCUGCCAAAUCAUGAUGAAAGUAAUGGCCCAACCCGGCUGAGAGUAAGCCCCUGUGUUUCUCUGCAGCAGAUGACUGAGAAGCAGCCAGGCUGGUCCCCAUUCUGAGCUGCAGCCCAGCCUGCUCCUGUUCACUUCCUCUGUCGUUCUGGGAGGUUUGUCAGCUUGCACCUCUUCAGCUCCUUCAUGCUGACAUCAUGUUGGAAAAGCCACUUUACUUCUUAGAGAUUCAAAUAACCCAAGCCUUGCUUGACUUGCUUCUCAGGACAACAGAAUAGACACCAAUCAGAAACUCCAUGGCAGUGUGAACUGUUUUUACCUUCCAGGCCCUGCCUUUCUCUGCUGGCUGUCUUCAUCGGGAUCACACCAGAACUUCUAGCUUAUCACAUCUUUGCUUGACUAACUUCAAUUCAUCCUCUAAGACUUAGCUCAGGUAUGACCUGCCCUGGGAAGCUCCUUUGAGACCCUCACUGCCCUCCCAGGGCCAUAUGCUGAUUUUCUCUAUGACAAUUUUACAUUAAAGCCGUGUGCCCAUUUUGCCUACUAAACUUGGAGCUUGUUUUGCAGAGGGAAAUUCCCUAAUGAUCUUAAUGGUACUCUCUGUUAGCCUGAAGCCUGGUAUCCUGUAGACAUUGAUUCUUAUAAUAAUAUUGAUGAAUGAAUAAACAAAUGAGAAAUUGUGAAGAUGGGGCAUUAUCUUUCUAAUGAUCAUCACUGUAUUUGGUGUAACCAUUCAUAUUCAUUUAAUGCCAAGAUAUAGUAGCAAGUGCAAAGGUAUACUGCCAACUGUGUGAAAUGCUAUUGAUAGAUACUUCUGCUGAAACCAUGUACAUUAUAUGCUAAUAAAAUAAACUAAAAUAUGUCUUGUGUUCCUCUAAGUGCUUUGCAAAUAUCAACUCAUGUAACCUUCAUACAACCCUAUGUG
This 2330-nucleotide long non-coding RNA is filed under the name Homo sapiens (human). RNAcentral's name for it is "HSALNT0026829". Lineage: Eukaryota; Metazoa; Chordata; Mammalia; Primates; Hominidae. The record is from RNAcentral.